Molecule: long non-coding RNA, 658 nt
Filed under: Homo sapiens (human)
Lineage: Eukaryota; Metazoa; Chordata; Mammalia; Primates; Hominidae
Description: HSALNT0217743
Source: RNAcentral
AAGGGAGUGAGAAAUAAACUACUUUUGCUUUUAAGCCGUUAUAAAAUUUGGCAUGAAUUUGCCAAGCAACUCAACAUUAAUCUACUGUCCUUGAAUUAAUUAUAAAAGUUGCAGACAGUCUUGAACAUUUAACAACACAGACACAAUUAUUCGUGAGGAAUUAAAAUUGGGAAAAGUUCUAAUACUUUUUUUUUUGUAGAACAUUUUUACCAAUUUAAAAAAGUGAUCAUUAUAGAUUAACUUGAAAUCACAAUGCAGAAUUGUGUUAUGCCAUAGAUCACUCAAUAAUUUGUUGUCACAUAUAUGCUUCUCUGCCAAUCCUAGUAGACUUCACACCUUGUGCUAUAUUAUUAGUCUUCCUUUUAUGAGGCAGACAGUACCCAUUUCAUAAAAUAUGAAGACUAUAGCUUCGGGCCAGAGGAUUUGAAUUUUCAUACUAGAGGUUAUAAUAUGUGAUAUCAUGAGCUUGUUUUUAUUGUCCUAGGAGGCUGAUAUUCCUAAUCUAUUCAUAAGGAUGGCAUAUCUACCCAGUGGGCCUGCUGGGACUCCAGUUACCCGAUGCACAUACAUUGCUUGGUGUGAAUGUACAAAGAGACCAAGAAAACCUCAGUCAAACUUGGAAAUUUCCUUUGUAAUAUUCUUUUUAAAGUUAGUUAUG